Molecule: ribosomal RNA, 253 nt
Filed under: uncultured bacterium
Lineage: Bacteria
Description: partial 16S ribosomal RNA
Rfam family: Bacterial small subunit ribosomal RNA
Source: RNAcentral
UACAGAGGUCUCAAGCGUUGUUCGGAUUCAUUGGGCGUAAAGGGUGCGUAGGCGGCGCGGUAAGUCGGGUGUGAAAUCUCGGAGCUUAACUCCGAAACUGCAUUCGAUACUGCCGUGCUUGAGGACUGGAGAGGAGACUGGAAUUUACGGUGUAGCGGUGAAAUGCGUAGAUAUCGUAAGGAAGACCAGUGGCGAAGGCGGGUCUCUGGGCCUUACCUGACGCUCAGGUGCGAAAGCUAGGGGAGCGAACAGG